This 468-nucleotide ribosomal RNA is filed under the name uncultured bacterium. Its description in RNAcentral is "partial 16S ribosomal RNA". It matches the Rfam family "Bacterial small subunit ribosomal RNA", at positions 28 to 507 of the family's 1533-position model. The record is from RNAcentral.
GACGAACGCUGGCGGCGUGCUUAACACAUGCAAGUCGAACGGAAAGGCCCUGCUUUUGGGGGGUUCUCGAGUGGCAAACGGGUGAGUAACACGUGAGUAACCUGCUCUUGAUUUUGGGAUAACUUCAGAAAACUGGGGCUAAUACCGUAUAGGAGCUCCUGCUGCAUGGGGGGGGUUGGAAAGUUUCGGCGGUGGGGGAGGGACUCGCGGCUUAUCAGCUUGUUGGUGGGGUAGUGGCUUACCAAGGCUUUGAGGGGUAGCCGGCCUGAGAGGGGGACCGGCCAAAUUGGGCCUGGGAUACGGCCCAGACUCCUACGGGAGGCAGCAGUGGGGAAUAUUGCACAAUGGGCGGAAGCCUGAUGCAGCAACGCCGCGUGCGGGAUAACGGCCUUCGGGUUGUAAACCGCUUUCGCCUGUGACGAAGCGUGAGUGACGGUAAUGGGUAAAGAAGCACCGGCUAACUACGUG